GACGAACGCUGGCGGCGUGCCUAAUACAUGCAAGUCGAGCGGAGUUAGGAUGGAAGCUUGCUCUCGGAUUAACUUAGCGGCGGACGGGUGAGUAACACGUAGGCAACCUGCCCCUCAGACUGGGAUAACUACCGGAAACGGUAGCUAAUACCGGAUAAUUCCUUCCUUCGCCUGAAGAAAGGAUGAAAGACGGAGCAAUCUGUUACUGGGGGAUGGGCCUGCGGCGCAUUAGCUGGUUGGUAAGGUAACGGCUUACCAAGGCGACGAUGCGUAGCCGACCUGAGAGGGUGAACGGCCACACUGGGACUGAGACACGGCCCAGACUCCUACGGGAGGCAGCAGUAGGGAAUCUUCCGCAAUGGGCGAAAGCCUGACGGAGCAACGCCGCGUGAGUGAUGAAGGUUUUCGGAUCGUAAAGCUCUGUUGCCAGGGAAGAACGUUCUCUAGAGUAACUGCUAGAGAAGUGACGGUACCUGAGAAGAAAGCCCCGGCUAACUACGUG
Molecule: ribosomal RNA, 502 nt
Filed under: uncultured bacterium
Lineage: Bacteria
Description: bacterial SSU rRNA
Rfam family: Bacterial small subunit ribosomal RNA
Source: RNAcentral